This 289-nucleotide long non-coding RNA is filed under the name Homo sapiens (human). RNAcentral's name for it is "HSALNT0176140". Lineage: Eukaryota; Metazoa; Chordata; Mammalia; Primates; Hominidae. The record is from RNAcentral.
UCUCAGGCAUCUUGAAUUUAGGGCCCUUUAGUUUCGCAUCUGGACCUUCGAUAUUCACAUCAGGAACAUCAAUGUCCACCUUGGGUCCUGAGACGUCAAGGUCAGCCUUGGGCAGGUUCACAUCCACAUCUGGGCCCUCUCCUUUGAAGCCAGGCAUGCUGAACUUGGGCAUUUUCACCUUGGGCAUCUUCAGGUGCCAGUCUGGGCCAUGAACAUCCACAUCUGGGGCAUCAAUGUCCACUUUGGGCCCUCUGAUGUCAACAUCUGGCACUUUCAUUUCACCUUCUAC